Molecule: long non-coding RNA, 446 nt
Organism: Adelges cooleyi (spruce gall adelgid)
Lineage: Eukaryota; Metazoa; Arthropoda; Insecta; Hemiptera; Adelgidae
Exons: 5
Source: RefSeq, a predicted model, not a curated record
UCAUAUCUGGGAAAUACUGUCGCCUUUCGACGAAGAUAAGAUGUGCACGUCGUAAAUAUAUUAUUCCUGACGAGUCCAAAGAUCUUCUUUUUUUCAUUACCAGAUAUGUGGAAAACUACAAUGGAUGGAACUUCAUUUACAGCCGUCAAUUCCUGAGAGUCCUGCUGAAAUACAACAUUUCUUAUUCCUGGAUUCAGACAGUUGCGGUUAUAGAAACUUGAAUAAUGACAACCGAUUCUUGCAAGUUUUGCUGACUGGCAACAUAUCUUCUGUUUUUAAUUUAAUAAUCGUUCGAGCGACCAAUAUUUGUGACAUUUGCUGAGUGGCUACAAGUCAUCUUUUUUUUAAUUAGAAUAGUCGUGUUUGAUUAUACCACACUAUCAACACAGAAAAAUUCGUUCCACUGGUGCAACGGCAAUGACAACCACAAAGACGGACAGAAGGUC